RNAcentral lists this long non-coding RNA (1426 nucleotides) under Olea europaea subsp. europaea. The record is from RNAcentral. Lineage: Eukaryota; Viridiplantae; Streptophyta; Magnoliopsida; Lamiales; Oleaceae.
CUAUCGAGCACCUCCUACUGCCUUCUACAGAGGCCCCUAAUGUCAUGUGGGUCGGUGGAAUUCCCGCCUGGAUGCAACCAAUUAUAGCAUACCUGAAAGACCAGGUGCUACCCACCGACAAAAAUGAGGCUUACAAGCUAAGAAGGAGGUCAGCCCAUUUCCUCUUCAUCGACGACAUUCUCUACAAGAGAAGUUUCUCCUCUCCACUUUUACGAUGUGUCGGAGGGGAGGAGGCUACAUACAUACUAAGGGAAGUCCACGAGGGAGUGUGCGGCAACCACUCUGGAGGCCUAUCUCUGGCACAAAAAAUACUGAGACAAGGAUACUACUGGCCUACCCUGAAACGGGAUGCCCUCGAAUUUGUGCGAAAAUGUGAUAAGUGCCAACGAUUCUCUCCCGUUCAAAGACGACCGUCACAGGAUUUGACUGCAGUCUCCAGCCCCUGGCCUUUCUCAAAGUGGGGUGUGGACCUCAUAGGCCCUCUGCCAAAGGGUAGAGGAGGCGCAAGUUUUGCAAUAGUGGCCAUUGAUUACUUCACGAAAUGGGUCGAAGCUGAACCACUGGCAAAAAUCACAGAAGCAAACACCUCCAAGUUCCUAUGGAAGAAUAUCAUCUGUCGGUUCGGAAUUCCCUACUCGAUCGUCUCAGACAAUGGCAGGCAGUUCGAUAACAAGAAGGUUAGAGAACUGUGUGAAGAUCUUGGCAUAAAGAAGCACUUCUCUACACCUCACCACCCACAAGCCAAUGGCCAGGUCGAAGCCGUAAACAAGACAAUCAAGCACGUCCUGAAAAGGAGGCUUGAUGUGUCCAAAGGAGCUUGGGUUGAUGAGCUGCCCCAAGUACUUUGGGCAAUCCGAACCACCACCAGGACCCCAACCGGGGAGACCCCGUUCCUCAUGGCUUUUGGGACUGAGGCGAUGAGCCCCGUGGAGGUCGGACUCCCAUCUCCACGACGUCUGCACUUUAGUGAAGUGACCAACGACGAGCUCCGGAGGCUAGACCUCGAUUUCAUUAAGGAGAAGAGGGACGACUCCCAGCUGAGGUUAGGCACCUACCAAAGGAAGAUGACAAGGUACUUCAACUCCAAAGUGAAGAAGAGGUCCUUCCGAAUCAACGACCUUGUGCUCAGGAGGGUCUUUCCAUCUUCAAAAGACCCCGGUUCCGGCUCCCUGGGACCGAACUGGGAAGGUCCAUACAAGAUCAGAGAAGAAAUCCGACCUGGAACCUAUUGGAUUGAAGACAUGGACGGCAAGGCACAACCCCGUCCAUGGAACAUUGAACACCUCAGAAUCUUUUAUCAGUGAAUUGUAUCAUGCCGGUUGACUUUCCCUGCCUUUGUAAUAUUUUUAUGGCUCAAUAAAAUGCGUUGAUUAAAUCGCCAUACUACUUUAAUAACCUCGGAGGAGAGGCUCGGGACCCUCCACUG